AACGCUAGCUACAGGCUUAACACAUGCAAGUCGAGGGGAAACGACAUCGAAAGCUUGCUUUUGAUGGGCGUCGACCGGCGCACGGGUGAGUAACGCGUAUCCAACCUGCCCACCACUUGGGGAUAACCUUGCGAAAGUAAGACUAAUACCCAAUGAUAUCCCACGAAGGCAUCGGAAUGGGAUUAAAGAUUUAUCGGUGAUGGAUGGGGAUGCGUCUGAUUAGCUUGUUGGCGGGGUAACGGCCCACCAAGGCAACGAUCAGUAGGGGUUCUGAGAGGAAGGUCCCCCACAUUGGAACUGAGACACGGUCCAAACUCCUACGGGAGGCAGCAGUGAGGAAUAUUGGUCAAUGGGCGAGAGCCUGAACCAGCCAAGUAGCGUGCAGGAUGGCGGCCCUAUGGGUUGUAAACUGCUUUUAUAAGGGAAUAAAGUGGGUCUCGUGAGACUUUUUGCAUGUACCUUAUGAAUAAGGACCGGCUAAUUCCGUGCCAGCAGCCGCGGUAAUACGGAAGGUCCGGGCGUUAUCCGGAUUUAUUGGGUUUAAAGGGAGCGUAGGCCGGAGAUUAAGCGUGCUGUGAAAUGUAGUGGCUCAACCUCUGCACUGCAGCGCGAACUGGUCUUCUUGAGUACGCACAACGUGGGCGGAAUUCGUGGUGUAGCGGUGAAAUGCUUAGAUAUCACGAAGAACUCCGAUUG
This 696-nucleotide ribosomal RNA is filed under the name uncultured bacterium. Its description in RNAcentral is "bacterial SSU rRNA". It matches the Rfam family "Bacterial small subunit ribosomal RNA", at positions 32 to 715 of the family's 1533-position model. The record is from RNAcentral.